Molecule: ribosomal RNA, 460 nt
Filed under: uncultured bacterium
Lineage: Bacteria
Description: partial 16S ribosomal RNA
Rfam family: Bacterial small subunit ribosomal RNA
Source: RNAcentral
CCUACGGGUGGCAGCAGUGAGGAAUAUUGGUCAAUGGGCGUAAGCCUGAACCAGCCAAGUCGCGUGAGGGAUGAAGGUUCUAUGGAUCGUAAACCUCUUUUAUAAGGGAAUAAAGUGUGGGACGUGUCCUAUUUUGUAUGUACCUUAUGAAUAAGGAUCGGCUAACUCCGUGCCAGCAGCCGCGGUCAUACGGAGGAUCCGAGCGUUAUCCGGAUUUAUUGGGGUUAAAGGGUGCGUAGGCGGCCUUUUAAGUCAGCGGUGAAAGUCUUUGGCUCAACCAUAGAAUUGCCGGUGAAACUGGGGGGCUUGUGUAUGUUUGAGGCAGGCGGAAUGCGUGGUGUAGCGGUGAAAUGCUUAGAUAGCACGCAGAACCCCGAUUGCGAAGGCAGCCUGCCAAGCCAUGACUGACGCUGAUGCACGAAAGCGUGGGGAUCAAACAGGAUUAGAUACCCCAGUAGUC